This 396-nucleotide ribosomal RNA is filed under the name symbiont type-X of Acyrthosiphon pisum. Its description in RNAcentral is "bacterial SSU rRNA". It matches the Rfam family "Bacterial small subunit ribosomal RNA", at positions 15 to 405 of the family's 1533-position model. The record is from RNAcentral. Lineage: Bacteria; Pseudomonadati; Pseudomonadota; Gammaproteobacteria; Enterobacterales; Enterobacteriaceae.
GAUCAUGGCUCAGAUUGAACGCUGGCGGCAGGCCUAACACAUGCAAGUCGAGCGGCAUCGGGAAGGUAGCUUGCUAUCUUUGCCGGCGAGCGGCGGACGGGUGAGUAAAGUCUGGGGAUCUGCCUGAUGGAGGGGGAUAACUACUGGAAACGGUAGCUAAUACCGCAUGAUGUUACGCGACCAAAGCGGGGGACCUCCGGGCCUCGCGCCAUCAGAUGAACCCAGAUGGGAUUAGCUAGUAGGAGAGGUAAUGGCUCCCCUAGGCGACGAUCCCUAGCUGGUCUGAGAGGAUAACCAGCCACACUGGAACUGAGAGACGGUCCAGACUCCUACGGGAGGCAGCAGUGGGGAAUAUUGCACAAUGGGCGCAAGCCUGAUGCAGCCAUGCCGCGUGUG